Molecule: non-coding RNA, 61 nt
Filed under: Ditylum brightwellii
Lineage: Eukaryota; Bacillariophyta; Thalassiosirophyceae; Lithodesmiales; Lithodesmiaceae
Source: RNAcentral
AUCUGUGUCAAUUUUUCCUAAAAGAUGAUCAUGGGUUAUCAACUGAGCAAGCUAAAUGGGU